AUCGCUUCUCGGCCUUUUGGCUAAGAUCAAGUGUAGUAUCUGUUCUUAUCUUAUCAGUGUGGCCCUCAGUAUCCCCGAAUGAGGUAUCUUUUCUGCAAAUACAGCUGAGAACAUCAUCGCCAAAGGAGCCGCAAGAGAAUUUCUCUGCGGAUCCCAAGGUGAUAGGCACUCCUCCUCCUGAACCUAA
This is a small nuclear RNA of Paramisgurnus dabryanus, 187 nucleotides long. RefSeq annotates it as U2 spliceosomal RNA. NCBI's taxonomy places the organism in Eukaryota, Metazoa, Chordata, Actinopteri, Cypriniformes, Cobitidae. The record is from RefSeq and is a predicted model, not a curated record.